GACAGAGGCCCCAAGCGUUAGGCGGAAUCACUGGGCUUAAAGCGUGUGUAGGCGGACUUCUAGGUGCCUUGUGAAAUCCCACGGCUCAACCGUGGAACUGCUGGGCAUACUGGGAGUCUUGGGCCAUUCAGGGGCAACUGGAACAAGCGGUGGAGCGGUGAAAUGCGUAGAUAUCGCUUGGAACGCCGAAGGUGAAAACAGGUUGCUGGGGAUGUGCCGACGCUGAGACACGAAAGCCAGGGGAGCAAACGGG
Molecule: ribosomal RNA, 253 nt
Filed under: uncultured bacterium
Lineage: Bacteria
Description: partial 16S ribosomal RNA
Rfam family: Bacterial small subunit ribosomal RNA
Source: RNAcentral